This is a non-coding RNA of Triticum urartu, 476 nucleotides long. The record is from RefSeq and is a predicted model, not a curated record. NCBI's taxonomy places the organism in Eukaryota, Viridiplantae, Streptophyta, Magnoliopsida, Poales, Poaceae.
GCCGCCGAGGAGGCCACGUCGGGGCGGUACAUCGUGUGCACCCUCAACACCACCGCCGUGGCGCUCGCCCACUUCCUGGCGGCCAAGUACCCGCAGUACGAGAUCAACGACGACCGCAUUGGUCAUCUUCCUGAGAAGCCGAGGGUGAGCAUCUGGUCAGACAAGCUCAUCAAGGAGGGGUUCGAGUACAAGUACAAGAACCUGGAGGAGAUAUACGACGACCUCGUCGUCUACGGCAGGACCCUGGGGCUCCUGAAAUACUGAUAUAACGGGCUCUCGGAAUGGGAUUAUGCGCUUGCAAAAUAAAUCUAUCCUCCUAGAGGCUAGAGCAUAAAAUGUGUUGAAAUGUUGGUGCUUAUGUUUCAUUUCAUGAUUGCUGACCGAGAGCAUAAUUCGGUCAAAUCGUGUAGCUUUGUUCUGCCCUUCUUCUUUGUGUUUAUCUUGUAUAAGAAAAGAAGAUUACUAUUUCCAUGUCA